RNAcentral lists this ribosomal RNA (495 nucleotides) under uncultured bacterium. RNAcentral describes it as "partial 16S ribosomal RNA". It matches the Rfam family "Bacterial small subunit ribosomal RNA", at positions 28 to 507 of the family's 1533-position model. The record is from RNAcentral.
GAUGAACGCUGGCGGCGUGCCUAAUACAUGCAAGUCGAGCGAACGGACGAGAAGCUUGCUUCUCUGAUGUUAGCGGCGGACGGGUGAGUAACACGUGGAUAACCUACCUAUAAGACUGGGAUAACUUCGGGAAACCGUAGCUAAUACCGGAUAAUAUUUUGAACCGCAUGGUUCAAAAGUGAAAGACGGUCUUGCUGUCACUUAUAGAUGGAUCCGCGCUGCAUUAGCUAGUUGGUAAGGUAACGGCUUACCAAGGCAACGAUGCAUAGCCGACCUGAGAGGGUGAUCGGCCACACUGAAACUGACACGGUCCAGACUCCUACGGGAGGCAGCAGUAGGGAAUCUUCCGCAAUGGGCGAAAGCCUGACGGAGCAACGCCGCGUGAGUGAUGAAGGUCUUCGGAUCGUAAAACUCUGUUAUUAGGGAAGAACAUAUGUGUAAGUAACUGUGCACAUCUUGACGGUACCUAAUCAGAAAGCCACGGCUAACUACGUG